This is a long non-coding RNA of Coccinella septempunctata (seven-spotted ladybird), 172 nucleotides long. RefSeq lists it as uncharacterized. Lineage: Eukaryota; Metazoa; Arthropoda; Insecta; Coleoptera; Coccinellidae. The record is from RefSeq and is a predicted model, not a curated record. The transcript has 2 exons.
UUCAACAAUAUGAAAUUCAGUAUGAAUUUGACGACGGGAAGGAGUGUGUCGCUGUCACCUGUUUUACCUACAUGUUAUUGCGAUCUUUUUGUCAUGGACUAGAGGAACACAGUUGAAUUCUAGAGCUUGAGAAAGCAACAAUAAAGUUGCGAAACGUCGCUCAUAGAAGAAG